RNAcentral lists this ribosomal RNA (756 nucleotides) under uncultured bacterium. RNAcentral describes it as "bacterial SSU rRNA". It matches the Rfam family "Bacterial small subunit ribosomal RNA", at positions 8 to 796 of the family's 1533-position model. The record is from RNAcentral.
AGAGUUUGAUCCUGGCUCAGAAUCAACGCUGGCGGCGUGCCUAACACAUGCAAGUCGCACGAGAAAGGGUAGCAAUACCUGAGUACAGUGGCGCACGGGUGAGUAACACGUGAAUAAUCUACCUCCGAGUGGGGAAUAACUUAGGGAAACCUGAGCUAAUACCGCAUAACGCUUACGAGUCAAAGCAGCAAUGCGCUUGGAGAGGAGUUCGCGGCAGAUUAGUUAGUUGGCGGGGUAAUGGCCCACCAAGACGAUGAUCUGUAUCCGGCCUGAGAGGGCGCACGGACACACUGGAACUGAAACACGGUCCAGACUCCUACGGGAGGCAGCAGUGGGGAAUUUUGCGCAAUGGGGGAAACCCUGACGCAGCAACGCCGCGUGGAGGAUGAAAUCCCUUGGGAUGUAAACUCCUUUCGAUCGGGACGAUUAUGACGGUACCGGAAGAAGAAGCCCCGGCUAACUUCGUGCCAGCAGCCGCGGUAAUACGAGGGGGGCGAGCGUUGUUCGGAAUUAUUGGGCGUAAAGGGUGCGUAGGCGGUUUGAUAAGUCUGAUGUGAAAUCUAUGGGCUCAACCCAUAGCCUGCAUUAGAAACUGUCGGGCUUGAGUAUGGGAGAGGUGAGUGGAAUUUCCGGUGUAGCGGUGAAAUGCGUAGAUAUCGGAAGGAACACCUGUGGCGAAAGCGGCUCACUGGACCAUUACUGACGCUGAUGCACGAAAGCUAGGGGAGCAAACAGGAUUAGAUACCCUAGUAGUCC